RNAcentral lists this ribosomal RNA (337 nucleotides) under uncultured soil bacterium. RNAcentral describes it as "bacterial SSU rRNA". It matches the Rfam family "Bacterial small subunit ribosomal RNA", at positions 26 to 355 of the family's 1533-position model. The record is from RNAcentral.
AGGACGAACGCUGGCGGCGUGCUUAACACAUGCAAGUCGAGCGGAAAGGCCUUUCGGGGUACUCGAGCGGCGAACGGGUGAGUAACACGUGAGUAAUCUGCCCAUCGCUUCAGGAUAGCCAUCGGAAACGGUGAUUAAUACUGGAUAUGACAUUCCUUCGCAUGUUGGGGUGUGGAAAGUUUUUUUCGGCGGUGGAUGUGCUCGCGGCCUAUCAGCUUGUGUGGGUAGGUAGUCGACCUAACGACGUUCUUACGGGACGGUCGGCCGUCGUAGGAGGGUGACCGGGCCACACUGGGACGUCGAGACACGCCCGAGACUCCGUACGGGAGGCAGCAGG